Molecule: long non-coding RNA, 2092 nt
Organism: Vicia villosa (hairy vetch)
Lineage: Eukaryota; Viridiplantae; Streptophyta; Magnoliopsida; Fabales; Fabaceae
Exons: 4
Source: RefSeq, a predicted model, not a curated record
UAGGUCAAAUGUGUGACCUUUGGAGUUCUCAGACUCUCUUCCUCUCACGUAACGGCGCGACGGCCUCUCAACUCCGAUCAUCUCCCUCUCUCAUCUCCGCCGUGAAAACAACAGAACACGGAACAAACUCCUCACGUGUCUCAUCUCUCCGUUUCUCCAUCUCAUUCUUCGCUCCGCCCUCGCCUCUCUCGUCUCCGAUUCAGACUCGCUUCAUUCUCGAAUUGAUCAGUAAACGCGUUGUGUUGUUGAGGAUGUAGGAAGAAGAUGAUGAUUUGCGUUCUUGUUCGGUUCUCCUUUGACUUUCGCUCGCAUCAAACAACACAGUCGUAUCGGAAGUAACUUCGAUGGUGCUUCAACGGCGACGACAACGGAAAGAACACCAUAAACUCUUCAGAUGAAGAUGAAAUCGUUGCGUUGAAUUGCUGCGUCGGUGAUUGUCGAAUCGGUGAAGAGUGCUAUUGUUAUUCUGUGAUGAAGAUUGAAAUUGCGGUGGUUGUGAAGUUUGUGGCGUUUUUCAGCUUCUGUUGAGGUGAUGAAGAUUGAAGAAAGAUCAAGAGUUGAAGAUCGUGAAUGAAGAUGAGGUUGAGAGUGAAGAACUGAGGUGAAAAAUGGUUAAGGUGAAAGGAUUGAAGAGAGGAAGAAUUGGAGAAGAUCGAUUGUGAGGGAAGAGAAGGAAAAGUGGUGAAGGAGAAUGGAAGAGAGUGGCAGUGGUGAAGAUUGGAGAGUGGAAUUGAAGAAGAUCGAGUGUGAGAGAGAAAGAAGAACUGAGAUUGAAGUUGAAGAAGAUGGAUUGUGUUGAGAAUGAAGGAAAAAGGGGAGAGAAUGAAUGGAAAGUGGGGUUCUGUUAUAUAGAGAUCGAAGGGGGAGAUGUUAGUUACAGAUGAAGAAUCUGAGCCCUUGAAUUCAAAAGUUUGUUACACCAAUGAAAGGUAGAGAUCGAUUCGGUUAUGAGGUUGGAUUUACAAUGUGAACAUGACCCUUCCUUGUAUAUCUGCUUAUGGUUUCGACACCGACCUGGUAUAGAAUGAAUUUACUGAUGACAAAAACAGAAUCCCUGCUGCCUGAACUGUGUCGAUGCUUCAGUGUGAUUGUUUGAUUGCAGGAUUUUUCUGGAUCGUGUAUGGAAGUGUUAUGGUGUAAGGAUGACUUUAAGGUGUGAGACUCGAAUAUGUUCGUAUGGUGUAUCGAAUGAGGCAGUAAACUGGUGUAACAGCUGUUUGGUAAAGUGUAAGGCUGUCUUGACUCAUGUGCUGUUUUGCAGCAGGUGAAGAAGGAGAUGAAGAGCAUGGCUGUAACGAGGUAGCAUGUCGUGAAGCUUCAAUGGUGCACGGCAAUGAGGAGAGCCUUAGGUGUUAGGCUCUGCGUAUAACUUUAGAUGUAAACUCCUUAGUGCAAUGUGAUAAUGAUAUUUGUAAUAAACUCUGUAUUUUAUUUGUAAUGCACUCUUGGAUUUUGUAAUGGAUGAAAUAUGUAAUGUUUUUUGUAACGAAAUUUGUAUGAAGUGUAUGAAUGUUUAAGUGUAUGGACUUGAGAUGAACUUGAAAUGGAUUUUGAAUAUUGGAAUGAAUGUAUUUGAAUGAAUGGUGAACUUGUACGAUACACACCAUCUUCGACAUGCAUCUUGAGUCGUAUUCAGCUAAAAUCUCGAUCAGAACUCAUACGCGCACUCCUUAAAUCUCACCCUUGCGUGCAUCUUAAUUUUUGAUAAGUUGAAACAAACUUGACCUCAUAUACCAUUACUUGAAUCCAGAGUUUGAGUUCACUCGUAUUUUGAAACAGAACACCUGAUAAGCGCACCUCUUUAACUUUGAUGUAGUCAACCCUUUUUCAAUUGCAUCAUGAUGUAUGCCUUAUAACUCACACAAGCCAAAAUACCGAAUUGAUGACCCGUGCUCCUCUUGUCCAGCCAAAAUUCCUUUUCAAUUGUUGGAUAUAACCUUAGAUAAACAUCAAGUUCCAAAUAUUGAAGGAAAGAUGUUCAGGAUAGCCUUAAGACCAAACUCACACAUAAGGGAUUGAAAUCAUAAUUCCAUAGUUCCAUGUUCAAAGAAGAACUAGAUGAACCAGUCCAUGUACACCUCAAAACAUUAUG